This 379-nucleotide long non-coding RNA is filed under the name Physcomitrium patens. Its description in RNAcentral is "long non-coding RNA (PPAT_LNC008657)". Lineage: Eukaryota; Viridiplantae; Streptophyta; Bryopsida; Funariales; Funariaceae. The record is from RNAcentral.
UUGCACACAAUUUACUUCACAGGUGCUGCAGGUCUUACAUGAUGCAUGUUAGUUUUGAGAGUGGAAGUAAACAUUUUGCAAAGGUGCUAUGAGCCCUCAGCCCCCCAAGUGGGUAGCAUUUGAACAUUACAGGGCCUUACUAAAAUUUGAAAUAUAGGUAGCAUGAUGUCUUGACCUUUCCACUUAGGAAAAAAGCAGACUUUUGCUACUAUUCAUAUAUUGCACAUGCCAUCUUGCAGCAUAUGUGAGAGGAAUAUCUCCCAAGAUGUAUCUAAAUACUAAUAAAAAAGGACUAAUAAUAACAAAUAUCAAAAUUUCAAAAUAAAUAAAAAUAAAUAAAACAACAACAACAACCUUAAGGAAAGCUAAUUUUGUACCC